Long non-coding RNA from Folsomia candida, 329 nucleotides. RefSeq lists it as uncharacterized. NCBI's taxonomy places the organism in Eukaryota, Metazoa, Arthropoda, Collembola, Entomobryomorpha, Isotomidae. The transcript is spliced from 2 exons. The record is from RefSeq and is a predicted model, not a curated record.
GUUGGCCCUUAAUGAAAAAAUCGACGAGGCCCUUGGCGAGGAAAUUGAUGAGAAUUAUUUACACUAUGAAAUGACCCUUAUGGUGACAAACCAACUCAUGAUCAGAUCCGGUACGGUGGAACAUUCAGCGUAUGAACAGAUGGCGAACAAUUUGCCCUAUUUAAAACUGAAGAACUCAAUUGUGAACGAUAUUGUGAGACUGAUUGAUAGGGUGGAGAGAUUAAAGACGUGAUUAUCUAUUUACUACCCAUUAAUAGAAACCAUUGUUCAUUCAAAUUAAUACAAAGUAAAAAAAAUUAAAGGUUAUUUGGCCGAUGAUUUUUUCCUUA